GUCCGGAAUCCCUGAGAGAUCAGGGAGUGCUCGAAAGAGAAUCGGAACACAGGUGCUGCAUGGCUGUCGUCAGCUCGUGUCGUGAGAUGUUGGGUUAAGUCCCGNAACGAGCGCAACCCUUGUCAUUAGUUGCUACAUUUAGUUGAGCACUCUAAUGAGACUGCCGGUGACAAACCGGAGGAAGGUGGGGAUGACGUCAAGUCCUCAUGGCCCUUAUGGGUAGGGCUUCACACGUCAUACAAUGGUACAUACAGAGGGCCGCCAACCCGCGAGGGGGAGCUAAUCCCAGAAAGUGUAUCGUAGUCCGGAUUGUAGUCUGCAACUCGACUACAUGAAGUUGGAAUCGCUAGUAAUCGCGGAUCAGCAUGUCGCGGUGAAUACGUUCCCGGGUCUUGUACACACCGCCCGUCACACCAUGGGAGCGGGUUUCACCAGAAGUGGGUAGCCUAACCGCAAGGAGGGCGCUCACCACGGUGGGAUUCGUGACUGGGGUGAAGUCGUAACAAGGUAAGCGUAGUGCU
RNAcentral lists this ribosomal RNA (521 nucleotides) under uncultured bacterium. RNAcentral's name for it is "bacterial SSU rRNA". It matches the Rfam family "Bacterial small subunit ribosomal RNA", at positions 988 to 1509 of the family's 1533-position model. The record is from RNAcentral.